RNAcentral lists this ribosomal RNA (447 nucleotides) under uncultured Planctomycetaceae bacterium. RNAcentral's name for it is "bacterial SSU rRNA". It matches the Rfam family "Bacterial small subunit ribosomal RNA", at positions 336 to 800 of the family's 1533-position model. Lineage: Bacteria; Pseudomonadati; Planctomycetota; Planctomycetia; Planctomycetales; Planctomycetaceae. The record is from RNAcentral.
UUCCUACGGGGGGCUGCAGUCGAGGAUCUUCGGCAAUGGGCGAAAGCCUGACCGAGCGACGCCGCGUGGAGGAUGAAGGCCUUCGGGUUGUAAACUCCUGUCGGAGGGGAAGAAAUUUUGACUACCCCCUCGGAGGAAGCCCGGGCUAAGUUCGUGCCAGCAGCCGCGGUAACACGAACCGGGCAAACGUUAUUCGGAAUUACUGGGCUUAAAGGGUGCGUAGGCUGCGCUAUAAGUCGGGUGUGAAAUCCCUCAGCUCAACUGAGGAACUGCGCCCGAUACUGUAGUGCUUGAGGAGGAUAGGGGUGAGCGGAACUAGCAGUGGAGCGGUGAAAUGCGUUGAUAUUGCUGGGAACACCCGUGGCGAAAGCGGCUCACUGGGUCCUUUCUGACGCUGAGGCACGAAAGCUAGGGGAGCGAACGGGAUUAGAUACCCUGGUAGUCAGU